UACGUAGGGGGCAAGCGUUGUCCGGAUUUAUUGGGCGUAAAGAGCGUGUAGGCGGUUUGGUAGGUCCGCUGUGAAAACUCGAGGCUCAACCUCGAGACGCCGGUGGAAACCAUCAGGCUAGAGUCCGGAAGAGGAGAGUGGAAUUCCUGGUGUAGCGGUGAAAUGCGCAGAUAUCAGGAGGAACACCUAUUGCGAAGGCAGCUCGCUGGGACGUAACUGACGCUGAGACGCGAAAGCGUGGGGAGCAAACAGG
RNAcentral lists this ribosomal RNA (253 nucleotides) under uncultured bacterium. RNAcentral describes it as "partial 16S ribosomal RNA". It matches the Rfam family "Bacterial small subunit ribosomal RNA", at positions 524 to 776 of the family's 1533-position model. The record is from RNAcentral.